This 192-nucleotide ribosomal RNA is filed under the name Acinetobacter baumannii. RNAcentral's name for it is "partial 23S ribosomal RNA". It matches the Rfam family "Bacterial large subunit ribosomal RNA", at positions 2045 to 2235 of the family's 2925-position model. Lineage: Bacteria; Pseudomonadati; Pseudomonadota; Gammaproteobacteria; Moraxellales; Moraxellaceae. The record is from RNAcentral.
AUAGUACCUGUGAAGAUGCAGGUUACCCGCGACAGGACGGAAAGACCCCGUGGAGCUUUACUGUAGCCUGAUAUUGAAUUUUGGUACAACUUGUACAGGAUAGGUAGGAGCCAGAGAUCUCGGAGCGCCAGCUUCGAAGGAGGCGUCGGUGGGAUACUACCCUGGUUGUAUUGAAAUUCUAACCCAUAACCC